Molecule: non-coding RNA, 32 nt
Filed under: Rattus norvegicus (Norway rat)
Lineage: Eukaryota; Metazoa; Chordata; Mammalia; Rodentia; Muridae
Source: RNAcentral
UGUGCAUCUAUUGGUUUGGAUCCCUACCGGCC